CGGGGAGAAAGGAACGUGCGCUGCCACAAAGGGACAGCGAACGUUGCUUCCCCCUUUGAAAACAAAACCAAAAGCAAACAAGAAAAGGAAAGAGAAGAAGAGGGGAAGAGGGAAGAGUUUGGGAAGUUAAAAAGGGAAGCUAUGGGUCUGCUGGGAGGGGAAAGGAUUGCUGCCAAAUUUUUGUGAGAGAGGAGAAGUUCUUGCUGCAAGUUCUGGGAAAGAGGGGAAGUGGAGAACUUUUGAAGUUUUGGAGGAGAUAGACUCAAAGAAUUUACAAAGGAAGUCUUCAAGAGGUGGAUUAACGAGCGUUGGUGAUAAGGAUUUGAGUAGAGAGCGUCUGUGUGCGCCCGUGAACGUUCGUUCAUUUCCGGAUGGAGACGAGCGUUUGGAAGAUGCGUUGAAUGAAGAGAACCUGGUUGAUGUCGAAGUGAAGAUCGAGCAGUGAGACCGCUCGGCCUGUAUUGUAUUUAGUUGAAUUGAGUGGUCGUUCGACCAUCUUUUGUUUUCGUUUAAGUU
This is a long non-coding RNA of Vigna angularis (adzuki bean), 516 nucleotides long. RefSeq lists it as uncharacterized. Lineage: Eukaryota; Viridiplantae; Streptophyta; Magnoliopsida; Fabales; Fabaceae. The record is from RefSeq and is a predicted model, not a curated record. The transcript is spliced from 3 exons.